This is a non-coding RNA of Podarcis lilfordi (Lilford's wall lizard), 70 nucleotides long. The record is from the annotation of a GenBank genome assembly. Lineage: Eukaryota; Metazoa; Chordata; Lepidosauria; Squamata; Lacertidae.
GCCGUAGCUCAGGGGGCACAGUAUCUGCUUUCCAUGCAGAAGGUCCUGGGUUCGGUCCUCAGCAUCUCCA